AAGAGGACAAUGUUGUAGAACACUCAACUGAGACGUUAUCUGAACCUGAAGAGACAUUUACCGAAGUCCGGUUAAAUGAAGAUCCUCCUGAAGAAUCCAGUCUAUUGCCUGCUGUUCCUGUUGAGCCUUCAGUUAACAAUGACGUAGGUGACUUGACUUUUAGACGUUCAACACGGCAGAGAGCACCGCCAGAGCGAUUACAAUACUCAACUUUAGGUAAUCCUCUAAUCUCGGUAGUUCAGUCUUUGCUCCAUAGCCUGUCCAAUGCUUUAAAUAUUUCAUCUGCGUCUGACACCGUUUCGCCGGUUCAUGUCAUCUAGUGCUCUAACAUGCAACGGGACGUGCAUGGGUUUAAAGGGGGGAGGGUGUAACCCAGGUUAAAAUCCCUUGGUCCUUUUUUUUCCCAGUACCUGAACACACCACAAGACACACCCCUGUAGUCUAACCAAUCAUGAAGUUCAGGCACAUUUUAUAAGCUGAGGUGAGUUUCCCCAAUCAGUAGUGAGGGGGAAGCCACCGGAGCAGCUGCACUUGUGUCUACUGCCGUGGGGUUAGAAACCAUCCGGUUCCACGGUGUGUUGAAUAUCUGCGGGAAUUGGCCAGGUGAGCCCAGCUGUGGGUCAAUUGAUGGCGAGCUACUACCUGGAACAGAACCUGCCCCUAUACAUCCUCAUCCUGUGGGUCUGGUAGGAGGCUGCUGCAGCUUUGCUCAACCCCUCCAUUUUCCUUUACACAUCUGUCCAAUUACUAAGACUUGGAUAAUGGACUGAUUGCAUCUCUCAAAUAAUUCUCUCUAUUUAGAUGCAAUAUUUUGAGUACUCCUGAUUAUGUUUUAUUUUGUCAAAUUCUGUGAACUACGGAGUCUAUGGAACUGAAUUAUCUGACGUGCACUGUGAAAACUAACUUGUCUGCAGAUUGUAAAUAUUUUGGAUAUUGUUUGUUUGUUGUUUGUUUCACAUAAUAUAUGGUACCAACACCAAAUAUAAGCAUCUGCCUUUGUGUCAUUAUUUACUCUUUCAACACCUCCUUAAACCGAACCAUUUAUCUUCUGAUACCCCACGUAUA
Molecule: long non-coding RNA, 1065 nt
Organism: Fundulus heteroclitus (mummichog)
Lineage: Eukaryota; Metazoa; Chordata; Actinopteri; Cyprinodontiformes; Fundulidae
Exons: 3
Source: RefSeq, a predicted model, not a curated record